GCCAGGGUGGCGCAGUGGUUAGCUUACCUGCCUAGUGAGCAGGAGACCUGGGUUCGAAUACCAGUCUUGGUA
Molecule: non-coding RNA, 72 nt
Organism: Schistocerca cancellata (South American locust)
Lineage: Eukaryota; Metazoa; Arthropoda; Insecta; Orthoptera; Acrididae
Source: the annotation of a RefSeq genome assembly